This 472-nucleotide ribosomal RNA is filed under the name uncultured bacterium. RNAcentral describes it as "bacterial SSU rRNA". It matches the Rfam family "Bacterial small subunit ribosomal RNA", at positions 355 to 825 of the family's 1533-position model. The record is from RNAcentral.
UGGGGAAUUUUUCGCAAUGGGCGCAAGCCUGACGAAGCAACGCCGCGUGGAGGAUGAAGGUCUUCGGAUUGUAAACUCCUGUCGACCGGGACGAAUGCACCCGACCUAAUACGUCGAAGUGUUGACGGUACCGGUGGAGGAAGCCACGGCUAACUCUGUGCCAGCAGCCGCGGUAAUACAGAGGUGGCAAGCGUUGUUCGGAAUUACUGGGCGUAAAGGGCGCGUAGGCGGCCUUAUAAGUCUCGUGUGAAAGCCCUCGGCUUAACUGAGGAUCUGCACGGGAUACUGUAGGGCUCGAGUUCGGGAGAGGAAAGCGGAAUUCCGGGUGUAGCGGUGAAAUGCGUAGAUAUCCGGAGGAACACCAGUGGCGAAGGCGACUUGCUGGACUUAUGGUGACGCUGAGACGCGAAAGCGUGGGGAGCAAACAGGAUUAGAUACCCCCGUAGUCCCUGAGCGGGCUGGCAAGGCGCAU